RNAcentral lists this long non-coding RNA (379 nucleotides) under Panax ginseng (ginseng). Its description in RNAcentral is "long non-coding RNA (PGIN_LNC001121)". The record is from RNAcentral. Lineage: Eukaryota; Viridiplantae; Streptophyta; Magnoliopsida; Apiales; Araliaceae.
AGCAACCAAUAUUACAGUAACCAAUUAAUCAUUACAGUAAUUAAGUUUGCAUUAGUCAGUAACCAAGUCAGCAUUAGUUAGUAACCAAGUCAGCACUAUAAUUUUACAAAGUAACCAAGUCAGCAUUAACAGUUGUAUAAAGGUAACCAAUAUAUAUAAUCAGAUUAACAGUUGUAUAAAGGUAACCAAUGUAGUCAAUAAGUAACCACCAAUAUAAAAGAAACAAUUAUAAACUACAAUAACAUUAUACAGUAACCAAAUAAACACCUUACAGUAUCUAAAUACAUAUUAGUCAGUAACCAAUAUAUAUGGUAAUAUUACUGUUAGCUUAUGGUCUGUAAAGUAACCAACUCAAUGUCAGACAGUAACCAAACUACAU